This 253-nucleotide ribosomal RNA is filed under the name uncultured bacterium. RNAcentral describes it as "partial 16S ribosomal RNA". It matches the Rfam family "Bacterial small subunit ribosomal RNA", at positions 524 to 776 of the family's 1533-position model. The record is from RNAcentral.
AACGUAGGAGGCGAGCGUUAUCCGGAUUUACUGGGCGUAAAGCGUGCGCAGGCGGUCCGACAGGUCGGGCGUGAAAUCUCCUGGCUUAACUGGGAGAGGUCGUCCGAAACCGUUGGGCUUGAGCGCCGGAGAGGGACGUGGAAUUCCCGGUGUAGUGGUGAAAUGCGUAGAGAUCGGGAGGAACACCAGUGGCGAAAGCGACGUCCUGGCCGGCUGCUGACGCUCAGGCACGAAAGCGCGGGGAGCGAACGGG